RNAcentral lists this ribosomal RNA (810 nucleotides) under uncultured Acidobacteriota bacterium. RNAcentral's name for it is "bacterial SSU rRNA". It matches the Rfam family "Bacterial small subunit ribosomal RNA", at positions 8 to 796 of the family's 1533-position model. The record is from RNAcentral. Lineage: Bacteria; Pseudomonadati; Acidobacteriota.
AGAGUUUGAUCCUGGCUCAGAAUCAACGCUGGCGGCGUGCCUCAGACAUGCAAGUCGAACGCGAAAGCCCCCUUCGGGGGGCAAGUAGAGUGGCGCACGGGUGAGUAACACGUAGGUAAUCUACCUUCGGAUGGGGAAUAACAACCGGAAACGGUUGCUAAUACCGCAUAAUGCAGCGGCACCUAAUGGUGACAGUUGUUAAAGCGGGGGAUCGAAAGACCUCGCGUCUGAAGAGGAGCCUGCGGCGGAUUAGCUAGUUGGUAAGGUAAUGGCUUACCAAGGCAACGAUCCGUAACCGGCCUGAGAGGGCGGUCGGUCACACUGACACUGACAUACGGGUCAGACUCCUACGGGAGGCAGCAGUCGGGAAUUUUGGGCAAUGGGCGAAAGCCUGACCCAGCAACGCCGCGUGAAGGAUGAAAUCCCUCGGGAUGUAAACUUCGCAAGAACGGGAAGAAUAAGUAAGAGCUAACAUCUCUUAUGAUGACGGUACUGUUUGUAAGCUCCGGCUAACUCCGUGCCAGCAGCCGCGGUAAUACGGGGGGAGCAAGCGUUGUUCGGAUUUACUGGGCGUAAAGGGCGCGUAGGCGGCCACCGCAAGUCGACUGUGAAAUCUCUGGGCUUAACCCAGAACGGUCAGCCGAUACUGCGGGGCUAGAGUGCAGAAGGGGCAACUGGAAUUCUCGGUGUAGCGGUGAAAUGCGUAGAUAUCGAGAGGAACACCUGCGGCGAAGGCGGGUUGCUGGGCUGACACUGACGCUGAGGCGCGAAAGCUAGGGGAGCGAACGGGAUUAGAUACCCCAGUAGUCC